This is a long non-coding RNA of Felis catus (domestic cat), 4382 nucleotides long. RefSeq lists it as uncharacterized. The transcript has 2 exons. The record is from RefSeq and is a predicted model, not a curated record. Lineage: Eukaryota; Metazoa; Chordata; Mammalia; Carnivora; Felidae.
AUCAAGUCUGAUGCCUAACCUACUGAGCCACUCAGGUGCCCCUCCUUCUUUCGAUCUUAACUGUAUAUUGAAAAUUAUUUUUGUGUUAUAUUUUAUCUAACAGUUUUGUUUGUCUGGAAGAGGUGCCAUCUAGGUGAUUUCUACCUAUGACAGUAUCUGGAAAUCAAUCACUGAGAUAAAGAUUUUUUAAGACCUAGAAGUUGAUAACACCUAGUCUUUCUUAAAAGAGAAAUAUGAGUAUGUUUUCCUGAAAUCUAAUUUUUAAUCACAAAACAAAAAGCAGGAAGACAACUUAAGAGAAAGGAACAAAGGAAUAAAUAUCUUAUAAACUGAAAGCAGCCAAUGACUUGCCUAGAUUAUAGAGCAAGAUAGAAUAUGAAAUCAUUUGUGAAUAUAAAAAUUCACUUAAGAAAAUGGAAAAACAUAUUUAGCCAAUCCCUGUAUUAAUGUGCCAAUCCCUAUAUUAACCCCACUAAGUUCAGAAUAUUUAAAUAACUUGAUAAAUAUCAUAGAUCCAAUAAGUAUUUGUUUUGAGAUACAACGCCAGCCAUGACUGAGCUGCACUUUUUCCAUUUUAAUAUUCAGUAUUAAUAUUCAAGCUUGGGAGUCUGCAGAUGUAUUCUGAAAAUCCAAGAACAUGUAAGUUGCAAAUACUGACUAUGAUAAUUCACAAUUGAAAGCUAUUUUCAUGGAAUCCAUUCUUCCUUAAGUCAGUGUUUCUGUAGCUGGAGUCUGAGAAACCUUGAGAGUAGAAGAACUGUCCUUAGAUACACUCAGGGACAGGACAGAAAUAUCGACAAGCUUUUAUGGGCUUCUUAUUUUAUGUUCCCUGAGAAAUUUUUUUUUUAAUUCCAAUCUUGUUGGUGCUGCAGUAGGUUGAAAUGGAUUUUCUCACCAUCUUUUUUGGGGGUAGGAAGGGAGAUCAGUGUCCCCAGGGACUGGCUGGCCUAUUUACAGAAACUCUCAAGAAGGUCCUGUGCUGGGUCCAAUCCAGGCCUGUGGGAAUGGGGUGGAGGGGGCGGUGGUGGGCAGCCUAGAGGCUGUCCUGCCUCAGCUUGCUUCCUCAUGGCUGAUGUUCUGGCAACAAGUGCAAUCCUUGUGCCCUCUUCCCUCUCCCACUAAGAUCCAGCAUAUAAAUUUUUGAGGCUCAGAGACAAGGCCAACUUUGUCAGUACUUAAGUAUUUAAUCUAAUCUUUAUCUAAACUCUAUUUUUCUUUUUUAGCCUUUCUUUCUGUCUGGUUUCCUUUUCAUGUGUUGAAUUAUUGUGAUAACUUGCCUCCGCACCCUCUUUUUUUUUUUAACCAUAAAGAUAUUGAUAAGAUUGGGGGUGUUUAAAAGGAAAUAACUAAGAUAACUGAGGGUGUGGACUUAUUUGUGUGGGAAAACUAAGCCAGGAACGAGUCUUGUCACUUAAUACUCUCAAAGCCCCUCAGCUCUGGAGGAGGGGGGGCUUAAGAUAUUUUAAAAAGCAAUUUUAUUUUUGUAGUUGUUUUUGAGGAUUUGUAGAUUUUUAUACAGAGAUCAAAUAUCUGUGAUUUUCAAAAUGCUAUAACUUACAUUUGCAAUCCUUUUGUUUCUUUGUUCUUUUUCUAAAACAUGAGCUUUUCUGAUACAUGGAAGAAAUGGACACUUAUGCCUACCAGUGAGUUUAUGAUAAUGAGCAUCUGUGUGGACUGUGGCCAGGAAUGACGGACACACACAGGUUUGAAGACCUCCUAGCCCACAGUUUCAGUCUGUGGGCCAACUGGACUGCAGCCCCUUGCUUCUGGAGUGAAUAGGGAAAACAUGGCACUAGACCCAGAUCCCACUGGCCUAUUCAAGAGAUAAUCAAAAUGACUUUGCCACAUAAGACUCACAGCUGACAGAAUGUCUAAAUACAAUUUCAUUUAAUUACCACAAAGAUUAUGUCAUGCAGACUCUCAUAUGUCACAUUGACUUUCAUCUGAAAAUAGAAGACUGAAACCUCAGGAGAUAUGUGCCUUAGCAGACUAUGUAAGUAUGUAGCAAAACUGAAACUAAACUCAAGUCUUCUAAAUCCAUAUUCAGCUUUUAACUACAAAGGAAAAAGAAAAUGUGAAUUUACUCUUAUUAGAAAUUCAGGCUGUUGAAGCUGAUUGUAGAGUAUGUGCACUGCACAAAGGUUCUCAAUUGAGGAGCCAAGUCAGCUGAAAUUGUACUCCAUCCUCUCCUGUCUACACCUCGCACCUUAUAUUGGCACAGAGGACUGCAUCUAUCAGAGAAAAAGCUUGGUUGCUUACCCUGAUGGAAAGGACCACUUAGCAACAGUCAGUGAAGAACUGAAACCCUCAGUUAAACAUCCUACAAAGAACUGAAUCCAACCAACACCUCAUGAGUGAACUUGGAAGCUGAUCUUUCCCCCAUCCACCCUUGAGAUCAACUACAGACCUGUCUGACGCCCAGGCUGCAGCCUUAUGAGGGACCUUAGAGCAAAGGACUCGGCUAAGCCAUGCCUGGAUUCCUGACCUAACACAUUGUGAGAUAAUAGAUACAUGUUGCUGCUAAAUUUCAGAGUAAUUUGUUAUGCAACAAUAGAUAACUAAUCCAGUUGAGUGCUUAGGGAAUAUUUUGAUAAAUGGAGUUUUUCUGACAUCCUAUCAUUUAGAAAGAAACUACCUGGAUGGGGGCAGGUAGCCAAAUUCUUCAUUCAUAUAGGAAAUUUCAGAUAGCUCUCCUGAGGUAUAUUUGAAAUUGGAAUUUAAACUAUGGCAGAUUCUCAGUGAUUUUUAUCAAGAUUAGUUGAAACAAGACUGUUACUUUAGAAUUCCAAGAGUUCAGAUUAUGCCUCAGAGAAGGAAGAUAAAAUGUGUAGAGAGAACAAAGAAUUAAUCAUGUGUUAGUGGAAAAAUUACUUAACAUUUUAGAAGCUUCAGUUCUCCUAUGUUACAAAAGGGAGCAAUUGGACUAGAAGAUCUCUAAGGCUCUUCUGAGUUUAAAUUCUGUGGAUGAAUCUUAACUGCUUCUAGAGUUACUGUCCCCAACCUCCUCAAAAAAAGAAGACAGAAAGAAAGGAAGGAAGGAAGGAAGGAAGGAAGGAAGGAAGGAAGGAAGAAAAAAGGAAGAAAAGAAGAAAGAAAGAGGGAGGCAGGGAGGAAGGAAAGAAGGAAGCUUUACACCAAAGAUCUAAUUUUUCUGUGUAGUAUUCCCCUAUGGAUCAUUUAUUACCUUUGGAAAUUGAGGCUUCCCUGGAAUAACCAAAUACAAAAAUCCAUGAAUUGGAUAAAUGAGAUAUUAGAUGGCCAAAACAAGAUCACUCUAGAGAAGGGGUUACUUCUAACAAGACCUGGAAAAAAUUACAUACACGUAGGAGAAAAUCCUUGUGCCCUUUGAGAGAGCCAAAAAUGCUGAGACAGCAUGAAUGCUUAAAGGAGUAUGUAAGAAGCAUGAAUCAUAAAACCAACACAAAAUUGAUAAAUUAGACUAUUAAAAUAAAAAAAUUGAUCUUUGAAAUACAUUACUCAUAAGUGAAAAAGCAAGCUACAGAAUGGGAGAUAAUAUUCACAAUAUACAUUCUGAAAAAGGACUGAUAGCAGAAUAUAGAAAGAACUCUUACAACCUAGUCAUAAUGAGACCAACAACCCAAUAAAAAGAUCAGCAAAAGAUUUUAAUACUUCUCAAAAAUAGAUACAUUAAUAUAAGCACAUGAAAAAUGCUCAAUAUGUAGUCAUUGGGGAAACACAUAUAAUACCCACAUGAAAUGUCACUUCACACUCAUUGGAAUGUCCAAAAUGAAAAAGACUAAGAAUACACCAAGUGAUAAUGAAGAUUGGGAGCAGAUGAAAUCACACAUUGAUAGUGGGAAUAUAACAUUAUAUGGCCACUUUGGGAAUCUUUGGCAGAUUUUCAAAAAGAAAAACAUCUAUUCACCCCAUGAACCAGCGAUCUCACUUACAGGUAGUUAACCAAGAAAAAUAAACAUGUCAACACAAAUCUUUAUUUCCAAAAGUCAAAACCUAGACAUGACUCAUAAGUUCAUCAGCAAGUGAAUGAAUAAACAAAAGCACUAUAUCCACACAAUAGAAUACUACUCAGCCAUAAAAAAAAAAAAAAGAAAAGAAAAAAAAGUAUGGACAUAUACAAAAUUAGGCGAACCUAAAACUUUAAGUUGAAUGAAGGAAGACAGGCACAGAAAUGUACACAUUGCACAGUUCCAUUAACAUGAAAAACUGAAAAUAUAAACCAAAGUGACAAAAAACAAAUCAGUGGUUGCCCACAUCCAGAGGCUGCAAAAGGGAUGGCUGGUCAAGGGACAUGAGAAAACUUUUUGGAUAAUGGAUAUAAAUAUUUUGUAUUUUGAUUGCAGUAUAUGUAUGUGCCAAAGCUCUUUGAAUUAUACAUUUUAUUAAAAAUUUUUAAAGUUGGC